Molecule: unclassified non-coding RNA, 353 nt
Filed under: soil metagenome
Description: partial contains 5.8S ribosomal RNA, internal transcribed spacer 2, and large subunit ribosomal RNA
Rfam family: 5.8S ribosomal RNA (bases 1-120)
Source: RNAcentral
GAUGAAGAACGUAGCGAAAUGCGAUAAGUAAUGUGAAUUGCAGAAUUCAGUGAAUCAUCGAAUCUUUGAACGCACAUUGCGCCCGCCAGUAUUCUGGCGGGCAUGCCUGUUCGAGCGUCAUUACAACCCUCAGGCCCCCGGGCCUGGCGUUGGGGAUCGGCGGAAGCCCCCUGCGGGCACAACGCCGUCCCCCAAAUACAGUGGCGGUCCCGCCGCAGCUUCCAUUGCGUAGUAGCUAACACCUCGCAACUGGAGAGCGGCGCGGCCACGCCGUAAAACACCCAACUUCUGAAUGUUGACCUCGAAUCAGGUAGGAAUACCCGCUGAACUUAAGCAUAUCAAUAAGCGGAGGC